GGGGCUGUCACUGGUUUCGACAGGUAUGCUAAUGCUUAAAUGGCAAGUGGUCUGCAACGCCUCAAGUGCAAACAAAAAAUAACUGGAAACAGAAAUACAUUAGCUUUCGCUUAAUAUAAAAUAGCAAGCUGCUCUCUUUUUUCCUCUCCCGCGGGGAAUCUGUAGGGCUCGAUUAGUGGGAUAUAAUAAAGUGAUGUCUAUAAGCUUUAUCGAAUUAUAUAGGCUUGCUAGUGGCUAGGUUGUUGGUUAACAAAACACUAGGACAAUUAAAAAACCAACUAAACUUGUAGAGGUUUAAGAUGAGGUGUAUUUGGACAGGAGUUCGAAUCUCCUCAGCUCCACCA
RNAcentral lists this transfer-messenger RNA (344 nucleotides) under fish gut metagenome. It matches the Rfam family "transfer-messenger RNA". From Rfam's summary of the family: Bacterial tmRNA, also known as 10Sa RNA or SsrA, is named for its dual tRNA and mRNA-like properties. The record is from RNAcentral.